UACGUAGGGGGCGAGCGUUGUCCGAAUUUACUGGGCGUAAAGAGCGCGUAGGCGGGUUGUUAAGUGAGAGGUGAAAGGUUCAGGGCUCAACCCGAACAGUGCCUUUCAUACUGGCGACCUUGAGUAUGGGAGAGGCGAGUGGAAUUUCUGGUGUAGCGGUGAAAUGCGUAGAUAUCAGAAGGAACACCCAUGGCGAAGGCAGCUCGCUGGCCUAUAACUGACGCUGAGGCGCGAAAGCAUGGGGAGCAAACAGG
RNAcentral lists this ribosomal RNA (254 nucleotides) under uncultured bacterium. Its description in RNAcentral is "partial 16S ribosomal RNA". It matches the Rfam family "Bacterial small subunit ribosomal RNA", at positions 524 to 776 of the family's 1533-position model. The record is from RNAcentral.